RNAcentral lists this unclassified non-coding RNA (272 nucleotides) under Rickettsia sp. Lineage: Bacteria; Pseudomonadati; Pseudomonadota; Alphaproteobacteria; Rickettsiales; Rickettsiaceae. The record is from RNAcentral.
CUGUGAGAUUACAUAUGCAUAUAGUGUUAAUUCUAUAAAAAUGUAGUAUCAACUCACAAAGUUAUCAGGUUAAAUUAGCUUUAUCAAUGAAUAAAAAUGUUGUUGCAUGACCAAUGUCAUACCGUGGCUUGACCAUGGUAUCCAGUAAAAAUUAUUUUGCUGAGUAUCGUAGUAAAAGUUAAGAUAUGAUGUUAAGACUUUUUUUGAGUUGUGCAAUAACAUUAACAGCAAACUAUAAUACAAGUCUAUCUUUUUAAAAGUUUGUAUUGCUA